This is a non-coding RNA of Oryzias latipes (Japanese medaka), 628 nucleotides long. Lineage: Eukaryota; Metazoa; Chordata; Actinopteri; Beloniformes; Adrianichthyidae. The record is from RefSeq and is a predicted model, not a curated record.
GGGAGCUUGUGGCCUGCCAAAUGUAGCUUGUGGUUGCUGUCAUUGGUGAGGAUGCAUCAUCCGUUGAAGGUCAUGUGAAUGUCCUUCAUAUCCAGUACAGCAAGGUGCGAGAGGAUAUACUAAAGAAUUACCCUUUCUUGAAGACAACCUCAGGGUUGUUUGAUGAUGUUGACCGAAUGCAUCCAUCACCUGUCAGUUUAAGCCAGCGCUUCAAGGACGGCGUUUACCAGAAUUGUGCCAAAGGUGCUUGAGCUUGUUCAAAGAAAAGCUCCAUUAGCCAAAGUCUACAAAGAAGCAAGAGAAGAGAUGCUUGCAGAGGAUCUACUAGGUAUUGACAUAAACGUAAUCCUUGGUAAUCUUUAGUGUGUUUUAUAGUUCUUCUUUUUAGAAUUCGUAUCAAUAUUAUCUUAUCACAUUUAUGCAUUUUAUUAUUUAAAUUAUGCAUUUAAACUUGAUUAAGUUUACUUUUUUAUUAUCUAUUUUUAGAAAAUGUAGAAUGCAGUUGAAAGAUUUACUUAAAAUGAGGUCUAGUGCUUCUUUUGUUAAUGUCACAAGUUUUAUUUCAUGGUUUAAAAAUGGUAACUGAAGUGCUAUGUGCUGUUUACAAUUGAUCAAAUGUUAAGAUUAU